This 204-nucleotide long non-coding RNA is filed under the name Nicotiana benthamiana. RNAcentral's name for it is "long non-coding RNA (NBEN_LNC015196)". Lineage: Eukaryota; Viridiplantae; Streptophyta; Magnoliopsida; Solanales; Solanaceae. The record is from RNAcentral.
AGGGAUGUUGUAUUUCAUGAGACUUCAUUUCCAUUUAAAACUGCCUCUAACCCUUCCAUCUCUUCCUCUUCCUUUCCUUUUGUUUCUUCUCCUGAGCAGUCCUUUUCUGACACUGACCUGUCUGUUCCUAUUUCUGCCUUUCCUUCUUCUCCUUCUGCUACUCCUCCUUCCUCUUCCAGUCCUGUUACUUCCUUUGUUCCUCCA